UAACUGAACUGGAAAAUGUUAAGCCUGUUAAACUCUCCUGUUGAAUGAAUGAUUAAAGACACGGCCGCGGACAACGAAAGCUGUUGGCGGUUGGCGCGCGUUUUUAGCCGCAUUCAGAAAAGUAGUUCCGUUAUAACCGUAUUGAUAGCCAACCAAAAACCAAAUAUCAUCUAAAAAUAUAUCUAUCUGCAUAUGCAUAAAUAUAUCUAACGAUAUAUCAGUAUAUACUCAAAAACAUCCCUACGGUACAUUCAAAAAAUUCCAAAAAUUUGUCGUCGGUUGCAUUCGAGAAUCGAUCGAUUCCGAUCCAAUCGGAUUCUAUGUAACAGUAUUCCCCUACAGUAAAGAGUAAUAAUUUAAAUAAAAUUCCUCCCCCGUUGGCCGCUCGUUGCAAACAUUUGUUUCUGCGUGCGUUUACCGAGCGUUUGGCGAAGCGAUUUUUGUGCGUGUUUAGUGCGUUUUGAGCGGAUCCUGCGCGUUUCCUGUGAGUUUCCUGUGCGUUUGCUGUGUGUUUAUUGCUGCGGGGGAGUCGCGCGCGAGCAUAUUUAUUUCUUUCGACGCGACUGCAGCCAGCGGAUGUCGACGUCUCUGCCCUGCAUUUAAUGCAUUUUUUUGUUUCAUUUUUUUUUAAAUUUACGUGAGAGUGCUGUGACAACCACAACAACAACAACAACCAACAAAACAAAAGAGAGUGUGGGUGGGAGUUCAUGCUUAAUAAAAGUUAAUUUAAGCAACAAAAGCAACGACACGAAAAGCAGAGCAGCAGAGCAGCAGCGGCAGAGCAAAGGCAGAAAAAUAGCAGAGGGGAUAGAUAGCAUCUCUGAUGAUUGACGAAAAAUAUCGCGUGGACUUGUCUAUUAACCCAAAUAAGGUUAAAUGCCCAGAGACUGGUCAGAAAAUGAGGGAGAAAAUAUGCGCCAAUCCUUUGCAGUUAUUAUUCUAUUGAAAUCCAUGUGAAUCCAGCCUUGCAACAGCUGCAUCUUGGCACUCCCAAACUCGAACCCGUUGCAAAAGUGGAGUGCAUAAUUAGGAUGCUGUUCCGCCCACGGGAUAUGCAGGACAAACCGUCUCCAUUAUUGUAUGCUAAAUUUAUUGCUACUUAAGUAAUUUAACCAAUUAAAUUAAUAAUUAAUACUGAAAUUUCAUCAAAUUUCCGCAAACAAAUGUUAAAUUAAAUGAAGAAAAAAACUCAAAAAAUCACUCAUUAGCGUUGAUAAAAGUUCUGCCACGAAGUCUCUCAACUAACUUUAAGCCAGAAAACUCCAGAAAAUUGGCUCAAUUUGGGCUAAGGGUAAAAGGGCUAACUGCCGUUACUUUUAGCACUUUUAUCAGCCCAGAAGUACGUCAGCUGCAGCCGCGGACUAAAAACAAUAAAGCAGAAAAGAUUUUAAAAGUCAACUUUUAGAAAAUGAACACUCAAAGUUUAAUAUCUAAAUACAAUUUUUUUUGUGCUCUUGAAUUUUGCCAACCGAAUGUGAUGUGUAAGUGAGUUUUCAGUUGUAUGCAUUCAAAGGACUGGCAGUCCCACAUGUACGGCGAAGGUCAUAGUUCAUAGUUU
This is a long non-coding RNA of Drosophila obscura, 1558 nucleotides long. RefSeq lists it as uncharacterized. The transcript has 3 exons. NCBI's taxonomy places the organism in Eukaryota, Metazoa, Arthropoda, Insecta, Diptera, Drosophilidae. The record is from RefSeq and is a predicted model, not a curated record.